Molecule: ribosomal RNA, 775 nt
Filed under: uncultured bacterium
Lineage: Bacteria
Description: bacterial SSU rRNA
Rfam family: Bacterial small subunit ribosomal RNA
Source: RNAcentral
GACGAACGCUGGCGGCGUGCCUAAUACAUGCAAGUCGAACGCUUUGAUUUUCACCGGAGCUUGCUCCACCGAAAAUCAAAGAGUGGCGGACGGGUGAGUAACACGUGGGCAACCUGCCCAACAGAGGGGGAUAACACUUGGAAACAGGUGCUAAUACCGCAUAAUUUGUUUUUCCGCAUGGAAGAAUAAUAAAAGACGCUUCGGUGUCACUGUUGGAUGGGCCCGCGCUGCAUUAGUUAGUUGGUGGGGUAACGGCCUACCAAGACCAUGAUGCAUAGCCGACCUGAGAGGGUGAUCGGCCACACUGGGACUGAGACACGGCCCAGACUCCUACGGGAGGCAGCAGUAGGGAAUCUUCGGCAAUGGACGAAAGUCUGACCGAGCAACGCCGCGUGAGUGAAGAAGGUUUUCGGAUCGUAAAACUCUGUUGUUAGAGGAGAACAAGUGAGAGAGUUACUGUUCUCACCUUGACGGUAUCUAACCAGAAAGCCACGGCUAACUACGUGCCAGCAGCCGCGGUAAUACGUAGGUGGCAAGCGCUGUCCGGAUUUAUUGGGCGUAAAGCGAGCGCAGGCGGUUUCUUAAGUCUGAUGUGAAAGCCCUCGGCUCAACCGAGGAAGGUCAUUGGAAACUGGGGAACUUGAGUGCAGAAGAGGAGAGUGGAAUUCCAUGUGUAGCGGUGAAAUGCGUAGAUAUAUGGAGGAACACCAGUGGCGAAGGCGACUCUCUGGUCUGUAACUAACGCUGAGGCUCGAAAGCGUGGGGAGCAAACAGG